Molecule: long non-coding RNA, 245 nt
Organism: Corticium candelabrum
Lineage: Eukaryota; Metazoa; Porifera; Homoscleromorpha; Homosclerophorida; Plakinidae
Exons: 3
Source: RefSeq, a predicted model, not a curated record
ACUGAAUCUUGCUUGUGGGCGUGUGUGCUGCGAGUUUGUAGUAUGUCGGUGAAUUUCUAAAUCCUCGUACGAAGACGUCAUCAGCGAUUCGUCGGACACAAACUGGGUGCUGUUCGAUUAUGACAAACAGACGAACGACGUAAAAGUGAUUGAGACUGGAGAUGGGAGCAUCGAGGAAUUGGGCAAAGAGUUUAGCGACAGUAAAAUACAAUACGGAUGGUGCAAAGUGACCGAUCCAAACACCA